Molecule: long non-coding RNA, 1013 nt
Filed under: Cyanistes caeruleus (blue tit)
Lineage: Eukaryota; Metazoa; Chordata; Aves; Passeriformes; Paridae
Description: lncRNA (ENSCCEG00000014127.1)
Source: RNAcentral
CCCCUCCAUUCGACAGAGCUAGCGUGGAUUUACAUCGGGGGGCAAAGGGAAGGUCUCUUCAGGUGGCGCCCAUCGCGGGGCUUUAGAAGCCCUCCGGACGGCUGGAAAACACCCCGCGGGUGUUUUAACAAGCCUAGGGAACGUCAUCUACCCCGCAGUUUUUCUGACGGGGUUUGGGUUGGUAGCUCGGUGGCUACACGAGUCAACUCAGACCGAGAACCAUUUUUUUCUUUUCUUUUCUUCGAACACCGCGCAUCCUUCAGGAAACAGCAACUUGGUGUUUGUAGCUUUGACGGCCAAGAAGAACCCCGUUGAUCUCCUAUAAGAUAGAAGUUCAUUGGAUGACAGAAAAACACAAACCAUAUGUUGUUACUCAUCUGUAAUUAGAGUGACCACAUGAAAAUAAUUUAGUGGUCAGCUACUGGUACUGUAAUAUGGAGUUUUCUGGAAGAAAGCUGUUGGUAGUGGUUAAGAAAGGAGAAGUGCAAGCCAUGCAAGAGAUAUUUGUAUUUCAGGCAAGUGGGCAAUUUCUACAUUUGACUUAGUCAUUUAUAAUCCCUAUAUAUCUCAGCUAACCUGCUGGAUAGCUGUUCUUAGGAAAUGCCUAAGUCUUUCAAAGAGCCUUAAACUUACUUAAACUUUGUGGUGCAGAAAGACUUCUGAAAGCUGAUGGAAACAGUUCUCACUCUAUACUACAAAAUGUGUGAGACAAGCUAUGGCUUCAUCAUCAGAUUUCAGCACCUGUUCUCCAUGGGCAGUGUGAUUUAAUGCAUGUGUCAGAAGGGUGCCAGCAUAAAUAGCAUAAAACUGACAAGGAGAAAUUGGAGACUUGAUCACAACCUCAAGUGUAACAAAUUCCUAUAGGAAAUAAGAACUCAGCUUCCCCACGUGGAAGCCAAAGCAUGACACAAGCAAAUCCCUUGCUUUAUGUUGACACUUGAUUUGAAUUCAAUAUCCUGUAUGAACAUUGUCUAUUUUCUUUAAUAAAUAUAGUCAUAAUAAUAAGGGAUUCA